Long non-coding RNA from Rosa chinensis, 2522 nucleotides. RefSeq lists it as uncharacterized. The record is from RefSeq and is a predicted model, not a curated record. The transcript is spliced from 3 exons. NCBI's taxonomy places the organism in Eukaryota, Viridiplantae, Streptophyta, Magnoliopsida, Rosales, Rosaceae.
AAAAACUCUUGUCCUACGCCCGAUAGUUACUCCCCACUUCGAAACCUUAUGUCCUAAACCUUAUGUCUCUCAACUCUAAUGAAAAAACUCUAAGCCCGAUUUCUCGAGUCUCCAGCCAAACCAUGGCCAACGACGACAAAUUUCCUGCGCGGCUUUACCGGUCGGAACCCUAAUCUCGGGGUUAGCAACGGCCAUUUCCAGAAUACCCUGAUCUCAAUUUCACUUAAGCGGCGGCGUUGCCAUCGAUCUAUCAGCGAUGAUGUAGCUAGCCUUAUUUCCUGCUCCGUUGCACCGAAACCAUAGUUUGUGAUAGAAUCCUGAACUCACUCAACUCGAGAUUCCAAGAUCGAGGUGAUCAUAGAUUCACAACCUUGCACAAAGUCAAAUCUGAAGUUCAAAGUUCAUAGUGAACACUUGGAAUUAUUGAAGUUGCUUUUCCCCAAGUUCAAGAAAAACAAGAAGUCGCUGAAAGAUAAAUAGAACCAGACAUUUGCAGAGUGGUUAAAGGAAAAGGUACUGAAUGAACUCCUGUUUCCCGACAAUAAUGUUUCAGAAGCAAUGAGGUGGAUUUCAAGUGGACCGAAUAAUGAAGUGCCAACAUUUAGCGGAUGCUAGGUUAAUGGAGUUGAUUUCAACACCAAGGAUGGAGACAACAUCCGAUCAGUUCAAAACAGUGGAGUAUUUUUGCUCACGGAUGUAAUGCAAGUUUCUAGUGCAAGGGAUAAAAGGCCUAUUACUUCUAGGGAAAAUUUCACAAACAGUACACCAAGUAAAGACCACUAAUAAUUCUUAUACAUAAUGUUCCAAACCGAUCAUUUUGGUACAUGGACUCUCGAUCUCGACCCACUAUGUAGACACGACGUCAAUGACACCGUUAACUCUAAUGCCGUUAUGCAUUUGUCAAAGGGUAAUUUAGUACUAUCACACUCUGGGUCAUUUUUUCAGUUAAAAAAAAAUUUCUCCUGAUCUCCUCUGAUUCUCUCCUUUUCUCCUUCUCUCUCUCUCCCCCCACAUGCCCAAACCCAGAAACCUCGACCCCAACAACCACCGCAUCUCCUCCACCUUCCAAAUCCAUACCCACGAAACUUAACCCCACUUCUAAUGCCAGCCCCAUCCCUACCACCGAUCACCACCACAAUCCCUACGCCCAUCUUCGGAUCCACCACAUUUGCCUCCAUCAGCCCAACAGUUCUCACUCCUUGCCUGGCCUUCAACCUCGCCUUCUUCAUCACCGGAAACUGAUUCCACUCUGGCUUCCACUCUAGUUUUAUGUCACGUAUGACCAACAUAUUCUCUCCUCUUAUUCUUCGAGCAAAGCUUCGGUGCUCUCUUCCCGCACUCUCAUCACAACCUCUUAGGAUUUUCUAGCAAAUUGAGAUGUAGAGAGAGAGAGAGAAUCGCUGAGAUGAAGGUGAGGAGAGAGAAAUUGGGUCUGAGAAGAUGGGUAUGCGUGUGAUUGAUUGGUUUUGAUGAUGAAGAAGAAAUAUUGAAUUGGAAUUGGGGUUUUAGAUGAUGAGCUGCGAAAUGGAUUACGAUCUAUUCAGUCGAGGUCUUGGGCGGCUUAGUGGCGAAGCAAGUCGGGUUCUGGUCGGGGAGGACCGAAAGAGGCGGUGAGAACCCGGAGUUGUUGUUGCUGUUGUUGAACACCGGGAUUAGGAUUAUGAUAAUGGUUGUUGAUUCAACAGAGGUGAAAAGCUGUGGAUUGAUUAGGUUGGAAUUGUAGAGGUGAUCGGGAUUGGGAGGGAGGAAGAGAGAUGGGUGCCCAUAGUGAGAGAGAGAGAGGGAGAGAGAGAGAGAGAGCGCUGGGUGCCCAGAGAAAGAAAGACGGGUGCUCAAAGUAAAAAACUGAAAAGACCAUAUUAUCCCUCAAAUUAACGGCGUCAUUGACGUCGUGUACUGAUAGUGGGUCGAGUUUCAGAUUUCGUGUACCGAAAUGCUUGGUUUGGAACUUUAUGUAUAAGAAUUAUUAGUGACUUUUACUUGGUGUACUAUUUGAGAAAUUUUCCCAUACUUCUAUGGUGUGAUUAAACAAAUCUGAGAGUUGGAUUACUAUAAGUUUAGGGUGCCUUUAUUCAACUGUGAUUGGGUUGAGAAUGUUAGGGGCAUCAAGUAGAUGAACUUAGGUUUACUUUGGUAAAUCUGAAUAGGAAAGGGCACUUGAAUGAUGCUUUUGUCAUAAGUACCCAUGUGAAGCAAAUCUUUUACAUACAAGACCCCCUCGAUGCUCAAUGGCCAGUGGUAGUAAGGUGCCUUGAUAGAGACUACCAAUGGGCAGAUGAAUAUUAGGAGCUACAAGAUAUUGAAGAGGAGUAAUAGCUAUUUGAUGCCAUAAUUCCAUCCAUCGAGACGUUUGAUGACAUAGUUGGUGAUGAACAUAGCAACAAUAUGCGACCUGGUGAUGAAGGAAUCUGGAUUGAGAAUGAAAACACUCAACGUGGCUGAUAGGAUUGAGAAAGUCUAGACCUAGUUGCAUUCACUUUUGUGAGUUUUGACAAUGUGUCUUUGUACUUUUACAUUUGAUG